This 71-nucleotide transfer RNA is filed under the name Enterococcus hulanensis. RNAcentral's name for it is "tRNA-Gly". It matches the Rfam family "tRNA". From Rfam's summary of the family: Transfer RNA (tRNA) molecules are approximately 80 nucleotides in length. The record is from RNAcentral. Lineage: Bacteria; Bacillati; Bacillota; Bacilli; Lactobacillales; Enterococcaceae.
GCGGGUGUAGUUUAGUGGUAAAACCACAGCUUUCCAAGCUUUUGUCGCGAGUUCGAUUCUCGUCACCCGCU